Triticum urartu is the source of this 2980-nucleotide non-coding RNA. Lineage: Eukaryota; Viridiplantae; Streptophyta; Magnoliopsida; Poales; Poaceae. The record is from RefSeq and is a predicted model, not a curated record.
CCAGCGGAUCGCAAGGGAGCUCCUCCACCCCAGAGGCCCAGACGCGGCCGCCUCCUUUUUCCACCGGCACCGGGAUGGCGCGGCAGCCCCCUUUUUCCUCUGGCACCGGGACGACGCGGCCGCCGCCUAUGCUGCUCCAUCCCACCGCAACGUCGUCGCUGGCCCUAGCCACGACUUCGUCGACGCAGCGACCGGAGCGGCGGAUGCAGUGCAGCCCGUAUGGUGCGGCGGCGGCGGCUGAAUCCAUGACGGCGACAACGUCCAGCGGUUCCCGCCGGCCCAAGCAGGUCCAUCUUCUCCCCCAACCCCUCUCAUGGGCUCCUCGCUGUCGCCUCGACGGCUGGGCCCCCUCCGCAACCGCCGGCCACCGGCAGCAGCCCCAGGGCCGAUGGCGACUUUCAGGCUGCGGCAUUGCUCAACACCGGCGGCCUCCACGCCUAGCCCCAGCAAGCAUCUCUCUCUCUCCCCCCGUUCUUCUUCUAUGCUGUGCCAGUACGUACCACGGUGGCCAUCCGUUGCCCAGGCCUGUCCAUGCAUUGCAGGUACUCAUACUUCUCUUCUUCCUGAAUAGAUGCUCUUCUGGCAUCCACUGCUUUUCUUUGAUUUAACCCCUAUAAUUUUUCAUCUUCGGUUGUGCAGAUUUUUGUGUAUGUGACUUUAAGGUGUUUGAUGAAAAUCAAGCAGGGUAGGAAAAGAUUUAUUUCUGUUUAUACUCUUUUGUGUAAUCAAAUAUUUCUUUUUCUUCUGCUGGGUGGUUGGGGGUUUGUUUUGGGAUGUUCCAUUGAAUUUGAGAAGACUUUUCAUGCUUAUUUGGAGGCACCAGGGUCAACUAAUUCUGAUCCUAGCAUAAGUAUACUCAAAGGGAGUAUUAAUUAGGCACAGUCUGUCUAGAGCAUUGCACUGUGUUUUUGCUUUGCUAAUACUGAUGUGUAAGUCAAGAAUGUGCGAGUGUAUUGACCUUUCUCUUUUGAAUAAAGAGAUGUGUAAACAACAAACUGAUUCAUAAACGUACAAAUUUUGUUCACUAGAUACACUGCAUGUUCAACACAGAUGAUCAUCAGUGAUAUGACAGGGUCAACUAUUUUCCUAAUAAUUAGUGGUUAUUUCCUAUGAGGGAGCCUUUCUACAUCUCACGUAGCAGAUCUUCUUCGCAACUCUCUUGCUCUUUCAUAAGAAGCUAUACUUUGCAAGGGUCUCAAAGAAAAAAGUCUGUAUUCAACAGACAGUAGAUAGACAUUUUGAAGCAUCAUUUUCGAAUAUAAAUUGGUUUUCUUUAUACUCUGGAGAUAUUACCUCUCUCAACUCUUAUCAUAUAGCAGAGACUGAAUGAUCCUAACGGCAAGAUGUCGACAUAGUAUCCAGGUCUCAGUAUACACACUAAAAAAGAGCAGUUGUUUCCCACUCAUCCUUUCAACAACCGCAACUAUUUUCCAACUUUUUGAGUGACAUAGAAUUCUAUGUUCUGUUUGAUUCCUUGCAACCAACAAAAAAGAUUGGCUACACUCUAUUGUUUGUUCUAUAUUUUCAUUCUUGCUUUUCCUUCGGCUACCUCAACCAGAAAGGGGGAGAAGUGGGUAGCUAGCUUUUUUCAAGUCCAGCAGAAUUUAUCAUUGAUCUAUGCAUGAUUGAACACCAAUUGCGGCAUUCAUUGUGUACUACUACAGUCUUAUUGUUGAGAUGGUUCUCUUACAUUGGUUGAACAAGCUGUGCAUUAUUGAGUAAUGCUGAAUGGAACUAUCUAUUUCUUUUGCCGAUGGUGAAGGAAUUACUGAUCUCAAUUUGCCUGCAAGCUUCAUGGACUGCUCUGAGUUGAGUGCCAACUGCUAAGGUACUAUCCUAAUAUAUAUAAGAUUUCCCAUCGGAAACUUGAAAUCGUAGGGUAUACCAAACUGUUGCAUUAUGGCCAUUCGGUUCAUUUUAUUUGCAUUAAUGUAUGAAGUCUUUUCUCUCGGUGUUGGAAGACAAACUGAAAAAUGUUCCCUCUAUUUACAGUUAUGUUCACUUUAGAUAUAUGAAAAUCUUUGAUUUAUUUUGUCAAUUGUGUUCUUCAUCAGAUGUUGUUCUUAAAAGGUUGCUGAUUACACCUAGAGAGAUCCUCCUAUAAAAGUAGAGUUGCGCUCUUUCACGCACAUCACCCGUGGAUCUCAGUGGAUCUAGAUAGGCAACAUUCAGAUUGCGAAAAACAUAAUUUACCUGCUAUUCUUUCUGGCCAACAAUAAUCUUCCCGGUGACUAAUAUAUAUAUAUAUAUGAUUCUUGGGCUCAUCACAAGAUUAUAGUGGGCAUGUGCAUUUUCUGCAAGGGAAGAUCAUAGAACACAUGUAACUUGGUUCUAUCUGAAACAAAGAAACUAUACACUAGAUAAAAUGAUUAGUCUCUGAAGGGUUAAGCUUAUUUUUGGUUAAUCUACUGCUUCAAGUUUGCUUCAUCAAAUGAUGCCUUUUUUGGCCAUUUUAAUAUUUUACGUUAUGGCAUUCCAUGAUAGUUUGCCCACUUAUUCUGUAGCCACCCUUUCUGAUGACCAAAUCAUGAUAUUACUUUGUUUUUCCUUUUGAUACGUGUGUGAAUUUUCGCAGCACUAAACAACAAUGCAUGAAUACAACAUAAGAUAUGACAGUAAGGUUUGCUUACCCUUGGUGAUCAUCCAAGAGUUGAUGUUUUCUCUCUGAAUUGGGAACAAUAGUCCAACUAAAUAAAUAUGGACGCUUUUGCAUAGGCGGUUCUUAUAAACAAAUAAUUAUAGUAUGAUUAUUUAUUUUGUGCACCUGCAAGAUGCUAUUACUUGUCCUAUAGGAUUGAUUAAUUGGCUUGGAAUUACAGAGGGAUAAUUAUCUUACUCGGAUCUGGACUAUAACUUUUUUGGUUUCAGGUCCAAGUGGCUUCGCGACAGGGUUUUGAAACACUGCUUGUGGGUGACCAUGGGAUGCCCGUAGGAGGGACAAAUAAACAUAGCAUACAGAGAAAUAAUUGAUUCAUCACAA